AGGAUUGUCUGUCAGGGAAGGUACCACGGUCAUGAAGAUGUUUCUCCAUUGCAUUUUGGAUGUGCUGACCCCUGCAAAUUCUCCAAAUUAGGGAAACUUGACUGUAAUUUGUGAAUGAGGAAAUUGUGUAUACACACCCCCACCUC
RNAcentral lists this small nuclear RNA (146 nucleotides) under Mus caroli (Ryukyu mouse). RNAcentral describes it as "predicted gene, 24056 (MGP_CAROLIEiJ_G0034996.1)". The record is from RNAcentral. Lineage: Eukaryota; Metazoa; Chordata; Mammalia; Rodentia; Muridae.